GGCGGGAUAGCCAAGUGGUCUAAGGCGACGGUCUGCAAAACCGUUAUUCACGGGUUCAAAUCCCGUUCCCGCCU
RNAcentral lists this transfer RNA (74 nucleotides) under bacterium. RNAcentral's name for it is "tRNA-Cys". It matches the Rfam family "tRNA". Rfam says of the family: Transfer RNA (tRNA) molecules are approximately 80 nucleotides in length. Their secondary structure includes four short double-helical elements and three loops (D, anti-codon, and T loops). The record is from RNAcentral. RNAcentral also lists the same sequence under 3 other names.